UGAUUCUGGGAACAUGGCUCGCCUU
This 25-nucleotide unclassified non-coding RNA is filed under the name Mus musculus (house mouse). RNAcentral's name for it is "oocyte_clustered_small_RNA4891". Lineage: Eukaryota; Metazoa; Chordata; Mammalia; Rodentia; Muridae. The record is from RNAcentral.